GCCAGCAGCCAUAUCACCCUGCAGCUCUAAACUGGCUACCCACUGAAGCUAAGCAGAGUUGAGUCUGGUCAGUACCUGGAAGUGUGACCUCCUGGAAAGCUAUGGUUGCUGCUGGAA
RNAcentral lists this ribosomal RNA (117 nucleotides) under Lepisosteus oculatus (spotted gar). The record is from RNAcentral. Lineage: Eukaryota; Metazoa; Chordata; Actinopteri; Semionotiformes; Lepisosteidae.